UGAGGAAUAUUGGUCAAUGGUCGCAAGACUGAACCAGCCAUGCCGCGUGCAGGAAGAAGGUCCUAUGGAUUGUAAACUGCUUUUUUAUGGGAAGAAAAAGUUUUACGUGUAAAACAUUGACGGUACCAUAAGAAUAAGCACCGGCUAACUACGUGCCAGCAGCCGCGGUAAUACGUAGGGUGCAAGCGUUAUCCGGAAUUAUUGGGUUUAAAGGGCGUGCAGGCGGGCUUGUAAGUCAGCGGUGAAAGUUUAUGGCUUAACCAUAAAAUUGCCAUUGAUACUGCUAGUCUUGAGAAGAAUCGGCGUGGAUGGAAUGUGUGGUGUAGCGGUGAAAUGCGUAGAUAUCACACAGAACACCGAUAGUGAAGACAGUUCACGAGGUUUU
This 385-nucleotide ribosomal RNA is filed under the name uncultured bacterium. Its description in RNAcentral is "bacterial SSU rRNA". It matches the Rfam family "Bacterial small subunit ribosomal RNA", at positions 355 to 737 of the family's 1533-position model. The record is from RNAcentral.